UACGUAGGGGGCUAGCGUUGUCCGGAAUCACUGGGCGUAAAGGGUUCGCAGGCGGAAAUGCAAGUCAGAUGUAAAAGGCAGUAGCUUAACUACUGUAAGCAUUUGAAACUGCAUAUCUUGAGAAGAGUAGAGGUAAGUGGAAUUUUUAGUGUAGCGGUGAAAUGCGUAGAUAUUAAAAAGAAUACCGGUGGCGAAGGCGACUUACUGGGCUCAUUCUGACGCUGAGGAACGAAAGCGUGGUAGCAAACAGGAUUAGAUACCCU
Molecule: ribosomal RNA, 263 nt
Filed under: uncultured Eubacteriales bacterium
Lineage: Bacteria; Bacillati; Bacillota; Clostridia; Eubacteriales
Description: uncultured Clostridiales bacterium partial 16S ribosomal RNA
Rfam family: Bacterial small subunit ribosomal RNA
Source: RNAcentral